Molecule: ribosomal RNA, 454 nt
Filed under: uncultured bacterium
Lineage: Bacteria
Description: bacterial SSU rRNA
Rfam family: Bacterial small subunit ribosomal RNA
Source: RNAcentral
UACGGGAGGCAGCAGUGGGGAAUAUUGCACAAUGGGCGCAAGCCUGAUGCAGCCAUGCCGCGUGUAUGAAAAAGGCCUUCGGGUUGUAAAGUACUUUCAGUCGUGAGGAAAGGUGUUAAGGUUAAUAACCUUAGCAAUUGACGUUAGCGACAGAAGAAGCACCGGCUAACUCCGUGCCAGCAGCCGCGGUAAUACGGAGGGUGCGAGCGUUAAUCGGAAUUACUGGGCGUAAAGGGCACGCAGGCGGUUAAUUAAGUUGGAUGUGAAAUCCCCGGGCUUAACCUGGGAAUGGCAUUCAAGACUGGUUAGCUAGAGUCUUGUAGAGGGGGUAGAAUUCCAUGUGUAGCGGUGAAAUGCGUAGAGAUGUGGAGGAAUACCGGUGGCGAAGGCGGCCCCUGGACAAAGACUGACGCUCAUGUGCGAAAGCGUGGGGAGCAAACAGGGAUUUAGAUAC